AAGGCUUGAAAUGUACGGAAAAGCCAUAGAGAUAUGGUGUCCUUAGGGGCCGUACACAGGUGGUGCAUGGUUGUCGUCAGCUCGUGCCGUGAGGUGUUGGGUUAAGUCCCGCAACGAGCGCAACCCCUAUCUUAUGUUGCCAGCGAGUAAUGUCGGGGACUCAUGAGAGACUGCCGGUGUCAAACCGGAGGAAGGUGGGGAUGACGUAGCUAAGCCUUC
This 219-nucleotide unclassified non-coding RNA is filed under the name uncultured Euzebyaceae bacterium. RNAcentral's name for it is "contains 16S-23S intergenic spacer region". It matches the Rfam family "Bacterial small subunit ribosomal RNA", at positions 978 to 1194 of the family's 1533-position model. Lineage: Bacteria; Bacillati; Actinomycetota; Nitriliruptoria; Euzebyales; Euzebyaceae. The record is from RNAcentral.